GGAGAGGUGCUCCAGCCCCCUGAGCAUCACCUGGGUUCACUCCAAUAGGUCCACGUCCUUCCUGAGCUGUCCUGUCCUCUGCAGCUUCUCCCGUGGAGCUGAACCAUCACAGAAAGGUGCUUGUGAGCUAAAAAUCAGUGCCAGGAGCUGCCAGUGCUUCUACACCCUGGUCGUGACACGAUAAUUGGCACAGUCGUGGACAUCAGGUUCAUUGCAAUCUCAGCUCUGGAGGGAGCUGGGAAGAGAUCCAUAACACAUCCAUCUGCCUCCACAACAUUUCAGAGAGGAAGAAUUGUCCCUGGCACACAGCAAAGCCUUGCUAUGCAAUCAACUUAAGCCUUGAAGCAUGAAAUUUGAUUUUCUUUACCAUAGAAUCAGUCCAUGAGAUUGCCAUGGAGAAGGCUGGGGAAGAUGUUUGGGCCCUUAUUAAAGCUACAUGGACAUAAAUACUUAUGCAGGAGUACAGCUUGAGGUCUAUGUUUCAUCCCAACAUUACCUGACUGGGAGACCAUCAGGUGGAAGAAAUCCCAGAACCCAAUCCCCCACAGAAGGAUUGUGAAGAAUUCAUGCCUGAAGAGCACUUUGUGGGAAUUGUCUUUUAAGACUGAAUUAUUGAGGUAUGGACAAACCUCUGCUUUCUUUUCACAGCUUUAUGUUGGUAGAAGGUGUAAUAUCCAUCCUGGCUUCCAAAGUUUCUCACCUACUUUCUGCAUUUUGGUGGAGUCUCAGCUGUUACAGCUGAGUGCAAAAGUCUUGUAA
This 759-nucleotide long non-coding RNA is filed under the name Chloebia gouldiae (Gouldian finch). RNAcentral describes it as "Erythrura gouldiae (Gouldian finch) lncRNA (ENSEGOG00005004744.1)". The record is from RNAcentral. Lineage: Eukaryota; Metazoa; Chordata; Aves; Passeriformes; Passeridae.